RNAcentral lists this transfer RNA (71 nucleotides) under Bos taurus (domestic cattle). It matches the Rfam family "tRNA". Rfam says of the family: Transfer RNA (tRNA) molecules are approximately 80 nucleotides in length. Their secondary structure includes four short double-helical elements and three loops (D, anti-codon, and T loops). RNAcentral also lists the same sequence under 1 other name. The record is from Rfam by way of RNAcentral. Lineage: Eukaryota; Metazoa; Chordata; Mammalia; Artiodactyla; Bovidae.
UCCCUGGUGGCUUAGUUGGUAAAGCGUCUGCCUACGAUGCAGGAGACCCCGGUUCGAACCUGGGUGGGGAA